Molecule: long non-coding RNA, 370 nt
Filed under: Ananas comosus (pineapple)
Lineage: Eukaryota; Viridiplantae; Streptophyta; Magnoliopsida; Poales; Bromeliaceae
Description: long non-coding RNA (ACOM_LNC039147)
Source: RNAcentral
GUCAGGGUGAUAUUAGUCGGUUAGAGUUGAGUGGUCCUCCUAGGGUUGAGUGGUCCCGACUGGGUUAUAGUAUUUAAUCCAUUGGUUAGAAAUAAUGAAAAAAGUUGAUCCAAAGGCUAAAAAACUAGUAGCAACAAUGAGAUUUUGCUACUAAUAGUAACCCAGUCCAACUCUCUCUCUCUCUCUCUAUAUAUAUAUAUAUAAUUGAGCUUCUGUACUUUUAAAAAUAUCAAGUUAUUGGUACUUGUAAAAUUUUGGACUUUGGAUUACAGGAUGUGCAAUUAGGAUGAUACGGGACCCAUAGGGUUGAGUGGUCUAAUGGUAGAAAAUUUAUAAGCACUAAGUGAUUGGUGCUUUUACAAGCAUCAUA